Molecule: ribosomal RNA, 1894 nt
Filed under: human gut metagenome
Description: bacterial LSU rRNA
Rfam family: Bacterial large subunit ribosomal RNA
Source: RNAcentral
UUAAGCUAUAAAGAGCACAAGGUGAAUGCCUUGGCACUGGGAGCCGAAGAAGGACGCGAUUAACUGCGAAAAGCCACGGUAAGACGUAAAUAGUCGCUUGCAGCCGUGGAUAUCCGAAUGGGGCAACCCGGCAGAGCAAUACUCUGUCAGCGCACGGUGAAUAAAAUAGUCGUGCGUGGGGAACCGCCUGAACUGAAACAUCUAAGUAGGGCGAGGAAAAGACAUCAACCGAGAUUCCGCGAGUAGUGGCGAGCGAAAGCGGAAGAGGCCAAACCGAAGGUAGCAAUAUCUUCGGGGUUACGGACAGCUUUAAUGAGAAGCGAUUCUUAAAAGAACGGCAUGGGAAGGCCGGCCACAGAGUGUGAGAGCCACGUAUUUGAAAAGGAUCGUAAUCUGGCUGUAUCCAGAGUACCGCGGGACACGAGGAAUCCCGUGGGAAGUCGGGGGGACCACCCUCCAAGCCUAAAUACUACCUGAUGACCGAUAGUGGAGCAGUACCGUGAGGGAAAGGUGAAAAGAACCCCGGGAGGGGAGUGAAAUAGUACCUGAAACCUUGUGCUUACAAGCAGACAUAGCCCGUUAAAGGGUGGUGUCGUACUUUUUGUAGAACGGUCCGGCGAGUUAUAGUAACUGGCGAGCUUAAGGUAUUGAGUACCGGAGGCGAAGCGAAAGCGAGUGUUAAGAGCGCGUAUAGAGUCAGUUGCCAUAGACCCGAAACCAGGUGACCUAGCCAUGUCCAGGAUGAAGUGGAGGUAAAGCUCCAUGGAGGUCCGAACCCACGUUCGUUGCAAUGACCGGGGAUGAGGUGUGGCUAGCGGUGAAAUUCCAAACGAACUUGGAGAUAGCUGGUUCUCCCCGAAAUAGCUUUAGGGCUAGCGUAGGUAAUGAGUUUCACGGAGGUAAAGCACUGUCUGAGCUAGGGGGCGAUAAGCUUACUGAACUCUAACAAACUAAGAAUGCCGUAGAAAUGCUUACCUGCAGUCAGACUGCGAGUAAUAAAAUCCGUGGUCAAAAGGGAAACAGCCCAGACCCACAGCUAAGGUCCCAAAUAUACGCUAAGUGGAAAACGAUGUGAGAUUGCAUAAACAACCAGGAUGUUGGCUUAGAGGCAGCCACUCGUUCAAAGAGUGCGUAAUAGCUCACUGGUCGAGUGAUCUUGCGCGGAAAAUUUAACGGGGCUAAGCAUGUAACCGAAGCUUAGGGUUUACAGCAAUGUAAGCGGUAGGGGAGCGUCGAAUACGGGGCGAAGUCAUACCGAAAGGAAUGGUGGACUGUAUUCGAGUGAGAAUGCCGGAAUGAGUAGCGAGAAUUAUGUGGGAAUCAUAAUGGCCGAAAAUCUAAGGUUUCUUGGGGAAGGUUCGUCCGCCCAAGGUAAGCCGGGAGCUAAGGCGAGGCCGAAAGGCGUAGUCGAUGCACAUACGGUAGAAAUUCCGUAACCACCGAACUUUAAGUCAGAGGGACACUUUUGGAUAGCGGAACCCGGGCGUUGGUUGACCCGGGCGUAAGGGAGCGAAAUUAGAGUAGCGAAGUCCGCGAUGUUCGGAGGCGAGAAAAGCUCUGAGGUAUGCUAAGGUGCCCGUACCGCAAACCGACACAGGUAGAUGAGGAGAGAAUCCUAAGGCCAACGGGAGAAGGGUUGUUAAGGAACUCGGCAAAUUGACCCCGUAACUUCGGGAGAAGGGGUGCUCCAGAGAUGGAGCCGCAGAGAAUCGGCCCAAGCAACUGUUUACCAAAAACACAGGUUUGUGCUAAAUCGAAAGAUGACGUAUACGAGCUGACGCCUGCCCGGUGCUGGAAGGUUAAGAGGAGAUGUGCAAGCAUUGAAUCGAAGCCCCAGUGAACGGCGGCCGUAACUAUAACGGUCCUAAGGUAGCGAAAUUCCUUGUCAGGUAAG